UGGAGUCUGAGGCAGGUGCAGAUGACUCUGCUGAGGAAGGGGACCUUCUGGAUGAUGAUGAUAAUGAAGAUCGAGGGGAUGACCAGCUGGAGUUGAUCAAGGAUGAUGAAAAAGAAGCUGAGGAAG
Nannospalax galili (Upper Galilee mountains blind mole rat) is the source of this 126-nucleotide long non-coding RNA. RefSeq lists it as uncharacterized. Lineage: Eukaryota; Metazoa; Chordata; Mammalia; Rodentia; Spalacidae. The transcript is spliced from 2 exons. The record is from RefSeq and is a predicted model, not a curated record.